ACCUGGCUGGCUCACUCGGUAGAGUGUGCGACUCUUGAUCUCGGGGUUGUGAGUUCGAGCCCCACGUAGGGUG
This 73-nucleotide transfer RNA is filed under the name Felis catus (domestic cat). It matches the Rfam family "tRNA". Rfam says of the family: Transfer RNA (tRNA) molecules are approximately 80 nucleotides in length. Lineage: Eukaryota; Metazoa; Chordata; Mammalia; Carnivora; Felidae. RNAcentral also lists the same sequence under 2 other names. The record is from Rfam by way of RNAcentral.